AAAUGACGGUACCUGACUAAGAAGCCCCGGCUAACUACGUGCCAGCAGCCGCGGUAAUACGUAGGGGGCAAGCGUUAUCCGGAUUUACUGGGUGUAAAGGGAGCGUAGACGGCUUUGCAAGUCUGACGUGAAACUCCGGGGCUCAACUCCGGAACUGCGUUGGAAACUGUAAGGCUUGAGUGCCGGAGAGGUAAGCGGAAUUCCUAGUGUAGCGGUGAAAUGCAUAGAUAUUAGGAGGAACACCAGUGGCGAAGGCGGCUUACUGGACGGCAACUGACGUUGAGGCUCGAAAGCGUGGGGAGCAAACAGGAUUAGAUACCCUGGUAGUCCACGCGGUAAACGAUGAAUACUAGGUGUUGGGGGACAAAGUCCUUCGGUGCCGCCGCAAACGCAUUAAGUAUUCCACCUGGGGAGUACGUUCGCAAGAAUGAAACUCAAAG
This 440-nucleotide ribosomal RNA is filed under the name uncultured bacterium. Its description in RNAcentral is "bacterial SSU rRNA". It matches the Rfam family "Bacterial small subunit ribosomal RNA", at positions 467 to 906 of the family's 1533-position model. The record is from RNAcentral.